Molecule: ribosomal RNA, 408 nt
Filed under: uncultured bacterium
Lineage: Bacteria
Description: bacterial SSU rRNA
Rfam family: Bacterial small subunit ribosomal RNA
Source: RNAcentral
GUCGGGAAUAUUGCGCAAUGGAGGAAACUCUGACGCAGUGACGCCGCGUGCAGGAAGAAGGUUUUCGGAUUGUAAACUGCUUUAGACAGGGAAGAAAGAAAUGACGGUACCUGUAGAAUAAGCUCCGGCUAACUACGUGCCAGCAGCCGCGGUAAUACGUAGGGAGCAAGCGUUAUCCGGAUUUAUUGGGUGUAAAGGGUGCGUAGACGGGUAUACAAGUUAGUAGUGAAAUCCCUCGGCUUAACUGAGGAACUGCUACUAAAACUAUAUAUCUUGAGUACUGGAGGGGAAAGCGGAAUUCCUAGUGUAGCGGUGAAAUGCGUAGAUAUUAGGAAGAACACCGGUGGCGAAGGCGGCUUUCUGGACAGAAACUGACGUUGAGGCACGAAAGUGUGGGGAGCAAACAGG